RNAcentral lists this long non-coding RNA (4285 nucleotides) under Zea mays. RNAcentral's name for it is "long non-coding RNA (ZMAY_LNC003529)". The record is from RNAcentral. Lineage: Eukaryota; Viridiplantae; Streptophyta; Magnoliopsida; Poales; Poaceae.
GACAUAAAAAUGGUCGCUCGGCCAUGAAAACGUGUGCUAUAGCUCACGGGAGGCCAAAACAGCCUUACCAGUCUCAAUGGUCAAAUCAUGGGUGGCGGACGGGAGGCACGAAAUCGCUGUUCGACGACAAAAACAUGUGUCACGGGAGGCCCUAAAACCUAAACCCUAAACCCUACAGCUCGUGGGAGGCCAAGAACAACUUUAAGGUGCUCUAGGGACCAAAACACGGGUGGUGGAACACGUACUUAAAAAUGGUCGCUCGACCAUGAAAACGUGUGCUAUAGCUCACUUGUGGCAAAAAAUGUCGUAACGGCCUCUCCGGUCUAAAACGUAGGUGGCAGGUCGGAUACAUGAAAUUGACACUUUGGCCACAGAAACGUGUGCUACAGCUCGUGGGAGGCCAAGAACAACUUUAAGGUGCUCUGGGGACCAAAACGCGGGUGGUGGAACACGUACUUAAAAAUGGUCGCUCGACCAUGAAAACAUGUGCUAUAGCUUAUGGGAGGCCAUAAACAUCCUUAGCAGUCUCAGUGGCCAAAUCAUGGGUGGUGGACGGGAGGCAUGAAAUCGUUGUUUGAUGAUGAAAACAUGUGUCACGGGAGGCCAAAAAUAGCCUUACGGGUCUUCGGGGACCAAAACGUGUACUAUGGUUUGGACACUAAAAUUCUACUAUGUCAGCAAAGUUGAUAUGGUUGGGAGACUCAAAUUUCAUUUUACCAUGGUUUCGACACUAAAAUCCUUUAGUGUCGAUGUUUAGGUUUAGGGUUUAGGGAUAGGAUUUUAGGGUCUAGGUUUCCAUAAAAUCGUGUGCUAGCUCACGGGUGGCAAAAAAAUGCCAUAACAGCCUCCCUAGUCUAAAACGAAGGUGGCAAGUCGGAUACAUAAAAUUGGCUGUUUGGCCACGGAAAUGUGUGAUAUAGCUCGCGGGAGGCCAAGAACCGCUUUACGGUGCUCCGGGGAAAAAAACACGUGUGGCGGAACGCGGACAUAAAAAUGGUCGCUGGGCCAUGAAAACGUGUGCUAUAGCUCACGGGAGGCCGAAACAGCCUUACCAGUCUCGAUGGUCAAAUCAUGGGUGGCGGACGGGAGGCACGAAAUCGUUGUUCGACGACAAAAACAUGUGUCACAGGAGGCCCUAAAACCUAUACCCUAAACCCUACAGCUCGUGGGAGGCCAAGAACAACUUUAAGGUGCUCUGGGGACGAAAACGCGAUUUCGUGUCUCCCGUAUCAGCAAACUUUAAGGUGCUCUGGGUGGUGGAACACGUACUUAAAAAUGGUCGCUCGACCAUGAAAACGUGUGCUAUAGCUCACUUGUGGCAAAAAAUGUCCUAACGGCCUCUCCGGUCUAAAACGUAGGUGGCAGGUCGUAUACAUGAAAUUAGCACAUUGGCCACGAAAACGUGUGCUACAGCUCGUGGGAGGCCAAGGACAACUUUAAGGUGCUCUGGGGACCAAAACGUGGGUGGUGGAACACGUACUUAAAAAUGGUCGCUCGACCAUGAAAACGUGUGCUAUAGCUUACGGGAGGCCAUAAACAGCCUUAGCAGUCUCAGUGGCCAAAUCAUGGGUGGCGGACGGGAGGCAUGGAAUCGUUGUUUGUUGAUGAAAACAUGUGUCACGGGAGGCCAAAAAUAGCCUUACCGGUCUCCAGGGACCAAAACGUGUACUAUGGUUUGGACACUAAAAUUCUACUAUGUCAGCAAAGUUGAUAUGGUUGGGAGACUCAAAUUUCAUUUUACCAUGGUUUCAACACUAAAAUCCUUUAGUGUCGAUGUUUAGGUUUAGGGUUUAGGGAUAGGAUUUAGGGUCUAGGUUUCCAUAAAACCGUGUGCUAUAGCUCACGGGUGGCAAAAAAUGCCAUAAUGGCCUCCCCGGUCUAAAACGAAGGUGGCAUGUCGGAUACAUAAAAUUGGCUGUUUGGCCACGGAAAUGUGUGCUAUAGCUCAAGGGAGGCCAAGAACUGCUUUAAGGUGCUCCGGGGACAAAAACACGUGUGGCGGAACGCGAAAAUAAAAAUGGUCGCUCGGCCAUGAAAACGUGUGCUAUAGCUCACGGGAGGCCAAAACAGCCUUACUAGUCUCAAUGGUCAAAUCAUGGGUGGCGGACGGGAGGCACAAAAUCGCUGUUCGACGACAAAAACAUGUGUCACGGGAGGCCAAAAUAGCCUUACGGACCUCCGGGGACUAAAACGUGUACUUUGGUUUGGACACUAAAAUUCUACCAUGCUUGUAAGCUUACUAUGGUUUGGAGAGCCUGUAAGCUUACUAUGGUUUGGAGACUCAAACUUCAUUUUACUAUGGUUUGGACACUAAAACCUUUUUGUUUCGGUGUUUAAGGUUAGGGUUUAGGGAUUGGAUUCGGGGUCUAGGUUACCAUAAAACGUGUGCUAUAGCUCACUUGUGGCAAAAAAUGUCGGAACGGCCUCUCCGGUCUAAAACGUAGGUGGUAGGUCGGAUACAUGAAAUUGGCUCUUUGGCCAUGGAAAUGUGUGCUACAGCUCGUGGGAGGCCAAGAACAACAUUAAGGUACUCUGGGGACCAAAACGCGGGUGGUGGAACACGUACAUAAAAAUGGUUGCUCGAUCAUGAAAACGUGUGCUAUAGCUUACGGGAGGCAAUAAACAGCCUUAGCAGUCUCAGUGGCCAAAUCAUGGGUGGCGGAUGGGAGGCAUGAAACCGUUGUUUGACGAUGAAAACAUGUGUCAUGGGAGGCCAAAAAUAGCCUUACCGGCCUCCGGGGACCAAAACGUGUACUAUGGUUUGGACACUAAAAUUCUACUAUGUCAGCAAAGUUGAUAUGGUUGGGAGACUCAGAUUUCAUUUUACCAUGGUUUGGACACUAAAAUCCUUUAGUGUCAAUGUUUAGGUUUAGGUUUAAGGAUAGGAUUUAGGGUCUAGGUUUCCAUGAAAUCGUGUGCUAUAGCUCACGGGUGGCAAAAAAAUGCCAUAACGGCCUCCCCGGUCUAAAACGAAGGUGGCAGGUCGGAUACAUAAAAUUGGCUGUUCGGCCACGGAAAUGUGUGAUAUAGCUCGCGGGAGGCCAAGAACCACAUUAAGGUGCUCCGGGGACAAAAACACGUGUGGCGAAAUGAGGACAUAAAAAUGGUCGCUGGGCCAUGAAAACGUGUGCUAUAGCUCACGGGAGGCCAAAACAGCCUUACCAGUCUCAAUGGUCAAAUCAUGGGUGGCGGACUGGAGGCACGAAAUCGCUGUUCGACGACAAAAACAUGUGUCACGGGAGGCCCUAAAACCUAAACCCUAAACCCUACAGCUCGUGGGAGGCCAAGAACAACUUUAAGGUGCUCUAGGGACCAAAACACGGGUGGUGGAACACGUACUUAAAAAUGGUCGCUCGACCAUGAAAACGUGUGUUAUAGCUCACUUGUGGCAAAAAAUGUCGUAACGGCCUCUCCGGUCUAAAACGUAGGUGGCAGGUCGUAUACAUGAAAUUGGCACUUUGGCCACAGAAAAGUGUGCUACAGCUCGUGGGAGGCCAAGAACAACUUUAAGGUGCUCUGGGGACCAAAACGCGGGUGGUGGAACACGUACUUAAAAAUGGUCGCUCGACCAUGAAAACAUGUGCUAUAGCUUAUGGGAGGCCAUAAACAUCCUUAGCAGUCUCAGUGGCCAAAUCAUGGGUGGUGGACGGGAGGCAUGAAAUCGUUGUUUGAUGAUGAAAACAUGUGUCACGGGAGGCCAAAAAUAGCCUUACGGGUCUCCGGGGACCAAAACGUGUACUAUGGUUUGGACACUAAAAUUCUACUAUGUCAGCAAAGUUGAUAUGGUUGGGAGACUCAAAUUUCAUUUUACCAUGGUUUCGACACUAAAAUCCUUUAGUGUCGAUGUUUAGGUUUAGGGUUUAGGGAUAGGAUUUAGGGUCUAGGCUUCCAUAAAAUCGUGUGCUAUAGCUCACGGGUGGCAAAAAAAUGCCAUAACAGCCUCCCUAGUCUAAAACGAAGGUGGCAAGUCGGAUACAUAAAAUUGGCUGUUUGGCCACAGAAAUGUGUGAUAUAGCUCGCGGGAGGCCAAGAACCGCUUUACGGUGCUCCGGGGAAAAAAACACGUGUGGCGGAACGCGGACAUAAAAAUGGUCGCUGGGCCAUGAAAACGUGUGCUAUAGCUCACGGGAGGCCGAAACAGCCUUACCAGUCUCGAUGGUCAAAUCAUGGGUGGCGGACGGGAGGCACGAAAUCGCUGUUCGACGACAAAAACAUGUGUCAUAGGAGGCCCUAAAACCUAUACCCUAAACCCUACAGCUCGUGGGAGGCCAAGAACAACUUUAAG